Long non-coding RNA from Bubalus bubalis (water buffalo), 1029 nucleotides. RefSeq lists it as uncharacterized. The transcript has 2 exons. NCBI's taxonomy places the organism in Eukaryota, Metazoa, Chordata, Mammalia, Artiodactyla, Bovidae. The record is from RefSeq and is a predicted model, not a curated record.
UUUCAUUCUUUUUUUUAUGACUGAAUAAUAUUCCUCUCUGUGAGUGUGUGUGUAUGUGUGUGGUGUGUCAGAUCUUUAUCCAUUCAUCUGCUCUAAGUAACAUUGAUGGUUACUUAGGCUGCUUUCAUGUCUUGACUAUUAUAAAUAAUUACAAAUAAUGCUGUUAGAAACACUGAGGUGCAUGUAUCUUUUCAAACUAGUGUUUUAAUUUUCAUAGAUGAGUGUUCUUGUAAGAGAGAGGCAGAGGAAAAUCUGAUAUACAGAGAAGAGGAGGUCAUGUGACCAUGAGAUAGCAAUUAGAGGGAUGUGGCCACAAGCCAAGGAAUGCUGGCAGCCUCCAGAACUUGGAAGGGUCAAAGAAUGGAUUCUCCCUAAGAGCUCCUGAAACAAGUGCAGCCCUUGAUUGCUGUCCAGUGAAAAUGAUUUUGGACUUCCAGCUUCAGGAACUACCUCUGUUGGCCUACUGAAGGGAAAGAGGAAGAAAAAGAGAGUUAAGAAACAUGAUGCAAGCAAGAGAUAAAAGAAAGAAGGAAGAGGGGAAGAAAGAAGAAUCAGGAAAAAAGUGGAGGAGAAAUAAGUCACUGAAUGGUUUAGGUCAUGUGUGAAUUAUACAGGGGGGUGGGGGGAGUUCACAUGACCCCUAAAAUCCACUUCUGUCAAUAUGGUGGAUAUUAAGGCUAUGCUUAAGCCUGGGUCAGAAGAGGAAUUUGUCUUUAAAACUUAUGAUUCAUCCAAUAGUUGUAAUGUGGCUUACUGAAAUUUUUCUCAUCAAGAUCACCACUGACCUCCUUUUGGUUAAAAAACAGUAACCACUUAGUCAUCAAGUUCUUUAACCUGACUUGCCAACUUUCAAGAUCCUGCUCAUAACCCACUUCCUCUACAAAAUCUCCCUUGAUCUGUGUUAUUUUUCCAUUUUCUGAAUUUCUAUUACACUCACAGGAAGUUUUUCUGUUAUUUCUGCCCCUCUAAAAAGAGGCCAGAAAUGCUUACUGCUACCCCAAAAUGUAUAAAACAACCCCCUACAGCAAA